This 251-nucleotide ribosomal RNA is filed under the name uncultured bacterium. Its description in RNAcentral is "partial 16S ribosomal RNA". It matches the Rfam family "Bacterial small subunit ribosomal RNA", at positions 15 to 254 of the family's 1533-position model. The record is from RNAcentral.
GAUCCUGGCUCAGGACGAACGCUGGCGGCGUGCCUAAUACAUGCAAGUCGAGCGAACCAAUAAGAAGCUUGCUUUUUGUUGGUUAGCGGCGGACGGGUGAGUAACACGUGGGUAACCUGCCUGUAAGAUCGGGAUAACUCCGGGAAACCGGUGCUAAUACCGGAUAGAUUAUCUUUCCACCUGGAGAGAUAAGGAAAGAUGGCUUUUGCCAUCACUUACAGAUGGGCCCGCGGCGCAUUAGCUAGUUGGUG